This 433-nucleotide ribosomal RNA is filed under the name uncultured bacterium. RNAcentral describes it as "partial 16S ribosomal RNA". It matches the Rfam family "Bacterial small subunit ribosomal RNA", at positions 29 to 507 of the family's 1533-position model. The record is from RNAcentral.
AACGAACGCUGGCGGUAUGCCUAACACAUGCAAGUCGAACGAGAACUUCGGGUCUAGUGGCGCACGGGUGCGUAACGCGAGGGGAGCUGAACUUAGGUUCGGAAUACCUCUCCGAAAGGGGUGAUAAUACCGGAUAGUGGCUUAGGCCCCAAAAUUUAUCGACUUUGGAUGUGCCCGCGUUGGAGUAGCUCGUUGGUAUGGUAAAAGACUACCAAGGCGCCGAUCAAUAACUGGGUGGUGAGGAUGAUCAGCCACACUUGGACUGAGACACGGCCCAGACUCCUACGGGAUGCAGCAGUGGCGAAUAGUGGACCGUGGGCGAAAUCCUGAUCCAGCAAGGCCGCUUGAGUGAUGAAGGCCUUAGGGUUGUAAAGCUCUUUUACCCGUGAUGAUAAUGACAGUACCGGGAGAAUAAGCCCCGGCUAACUCCGUG